AAAGAGUGGGUUAACGGGCCGAAUCGGGUUCGGAUCCGAAACCCGUUAAGCCCAAUAAUAAGAAAUUGGUUUAGCCAAUUGAAGCUGAACCCGAGCCCAAUCAAAUUGGGCUAAGUCUGGACAAGCCCGAUUUAAACCAGGUCCGAACCCAAUUAAGCUGAGUUGGUCUCAGCAGACCUAAUUGAUUGUGAAUCAGGCCCAAUUCAUGCCCAAUUCAACUGACAGAAG
Molecule: long non-coding RNA, 228 nt
Filed under: Phoenix dactylifera (date palm)
Lineage: Eukaryota; Viridiplantae; Streptophyta; Magnoliopsida; Arecales; Arecaceae
Description: long non-coding RNA (PDAC_LNC014535)
Source: RNAcentral